CCUACGGGUGGCUGCAGUGGGGAAUAUUGGACAAUGGGCGAAAGCCUGAUCCAGCCAUGCCGCGUGUGUGAAGACGGCCUUCGGGUUGUAAAGCACUUUCAGUGGGGAAGAAAGCCUUGGGGCUAAUACCCUCGAGGAAGGACAUCACCCACAGAAGAAGCACCGGCUAACUCCGUGCCCGCAGCCGCGGUAAUACGGAGGGUGCGAGCGUUAAUCGGAAUUACUGGGCGUAAAGCGCGCGUAGGCGGUCUGAUAAGCCGGUUGUGAAAGCCCCGGGCUCAACCUGGGAACAGCAUCCGGAACUGUCAGGCUAGAGUGCAUGAGAGGAAGGUAGAAUUCCCGGUGUAGCGGUGAAAUGCGUAGAGAUCGGGAGGAAUACCAGUGGCGAAGGCGGCCUUCUGGACUGACACUGACGCUGAGGUGCGAAAGCGUGGGUAGCAAACAGGAUUAGAUACCCUAGUAGUC
RNAcentral lists this ribosomal RNA (465 nucleotides) under Vreelandella stevensii. Its description in RNAcentral is "partial 16S ribosomal RNA". It matches the Rfam family "Bacterial small subunit ribosomal RNA", at positions 338 to 795 of the family's 1533-position model. Lineage: Bacteria; Pseudomonadati; Pseudomonadota; Gammaproteobacteria; Oceanospirillales; Halomonadaceae. The record is from RNAcentral.